CAACCAUCAAGCCCUAGGCUUGUGUUGGGGCCCUGCGGCUGUCCGCAGCCCCCUAAAAACAGUGGCGGGCUCGCUAUAUACCGAGUGCAGUAGUUUACUCUUCGCUCAGGACAUGUAGUGGGUUCUUGCCGUAAAACCCCCCAUUUUUUAA
Molecule: unclassified non-coding RNA, 151 nt
Filed under: uncultured Lasiosphaeriaceae
Lineage: Eukaryota; Fungi; Ascomycota; Sordariomycetes; Sordariales; Lasiosphaeriaceae
Description: sequence contains ITS2
Source: RNAcentral